This 264-nucleotide ribosomal RNA is filed under the name uncultured archaeon. Its description in RNAcentral is "partial 16S ribosomal RNA". It matches the Rfam family "Archaeal small subunit ribosomal RNA", at positions 718 to 982 of the family's 1478-position model. The record is from RNAcentral.
AGUCACUGACAUUAGAUACCCCCGUAGUCCAGGGUGUAAACGCUGCAGACUUGGUGUUGGGAACCCUUCGGGGGUGCUCAGUGCCGGAGAGAAGUUGUUAAGUCUGCUACUUGGGAGUACGUCCGCAAGGAUGAAAUUUAAAGGAAUUGGCGGGGGAGCACCGCAACGGGAGGAGCGUGCGGUUUAAUUGGAUUCAACGCCGAAAAACUCACCAGCAGCGACUGUUACAUGAAAGUCAGGUUGAUGACCUUACUAGAUUUUCAG